RNAcentral lists this ribosomal RNA (356 nucleotides) under Bradyrhizobium sp. 09LoS36_4. RNAcentral's name for it is "bacterial LSU rRNA". It matches the Rfam family "Bacterial large subunit ribosomal RNA", at positions 1 to 270 of the family's 2925-position model. Lineage: Bacteria; Pseudomonadati; Pseudomonadota; Alphaproteobacteria; Hyphomicrobiales; Nitrobacteraceae. RNAcentral also lists the same sequence under 12 other names. The record is from RNAcentral.
AAUCAAGUGCCUUAAGGGUGUUCGGUGGAUGCCUUGGCGCUGAGAGGCGAUGAAGGACGUGCUACGCUGCGAUAAGCCGUGGGGAGCUGCGAAGAAGCUUUGAUCCGCGGAUUUCCGAAUGGGGAAACCCACCUUCGAUAGCCGGAACUCCAAGACCUUGUGUGUUGGGGUUCGACCAGAAAUGCGAGAAAUCAAACCGCGAGGUUUUGGAUUUCCGGUUAUCAAGAGAAGGUAUGAGACUUCUGAAUACAUAGGAGGUUUCAAGCGAACCCAGGGAACUGAAACAUCUAAGUACCUGGAGGAAAGGACAUCAACAGAGACUCCGUUAGUAGUGGCGAGCGAACGCGGACCAGGCC